Molecule: non-coding RNA, 23 nt
Filed under: Cricetulus griseus (Chinese hamster)
Lineage: Eukaryota; Metazoa; Chordata; Mammalia; Rodentia; Cricetidae
Source: RNAcentral
AGGAAACUGUAGGGGGUUUUCUC